AGAGUUUGAUCAUGGCUCAGGACGAACGCUGGCGGCGUGCUUAACACAUGCAAGUGGAGCGACGAACCAGGGCUUGCCCUGGGGCAGAGCCGCGAACGGGUGAGUAACACGUGGGUUACCUGCCUCGAUGACUGGGACAACCCGAGGAAACUCGGGCUAAUACCGGAUGUGCCCGCAAGGGGAAAGGAAGCUUCGGCCUCCGCAUCGAGAUGGGCCCGCGGCCCAUUAGCUUGUUGGUGAGGUAACGGCUCACCAAGGCUCCGAUGGGUAGCUGGUCUGAGAGGACGAUCAGCCACACUGGGACUGAGACACGGCCCAGACUCCUACGGGAGGCAGCAGUGGGGAAUCUUGCGCAAUGCGCGAAAGCGUGACGCAGCAACGCCGCGUGGGGGAAGAAGGCUUUCGGGUUGUAAACCCCUUUCAGUUGGGACGAAGCUUCGCCGAUGAAUAGUCGGCUGGAGUGACGGUACCUUCACAAGAAGCACCGGCUAACUACGUGCCAGCAGCCGCGGUAAUACGUAGGGUGCAAGCGUUGUCCGGAAUUAUUGGGCGUAAAGAGCGUGUAGGCGGCCCGAUUAGUCCGCUGUGAAAGUCCAGGGCUCAACCCUGGAAUGCCGGUGGAUACUGUCGGGCUAGAGUCCGGAAGGGGCGAGUGGAAUUCCUGGUGUAGCGGUGAAAUGCGCAGAUAUCAGGAGGAACACCAAUGGCGAAGGCAGCUCGCUGGGACGUGACUGACGCUGAGACGCGAAAGCGUGGGGAGCAAACAGGAUUAGAUACCCCAGUAGUCC
RNAcentral lists this ribosomal RNA (788 nucleotides) under uncultured bacterium. Its description in RNAcentral is "bacterial SSU rRNA". It matches the Rfam family "Bacterial small subunit ribosomal RNA", at positions 8 to 796 of the family's 1533-position model. The record is from RNAcentral.